UGGGGAAUAUUGGGCAAUGGGCGCAAGCCUGACCCAGCGACGCCGCGUGAGGGAUGAAGGUCUUCGGAUUGUAAACCUCUUUCAGUAGGGAAGGAGCGAAAGUGACGGUACCUAAAGAAUAAGCACCGGCUAACUACGUGCCAGCAGCCGCGGUAAUACGUAGGGUGCAAGCGUUAAUCGGAAUUACUGGGCGUAAAGCGUGCGCAGGCGGUUUGAAAAGUCAGCUGUGAAAGCCCCGGGCUCAACCUGGGAACUGCAUUUGAGACUGCAAGGCUAGAGUGUAGCAGAGGGGGGUAGAAUUCCACGUGUAGCAGUGAAAUGCGUAGAGAUGUGGAGGAAUACCGAUGGCGAAGGCAGCCCCCUGGGUUACUACUGACGCUCAUGCACGAAAGCGUGGGGA
RNAcentral lists this ribosomal RNA (400 nucleotides) under uncultured bacterium. Its description in RNAcentral is "bacterial SSU rRNA". It matches the Rfam family "Bacterial small subunit ribosomal RNA", at positions 355 to 767 of the family's 1533-position model. The record is from RNAcentral.